RNAcentral lists this ribosomal RNA (252 nucleotides) under uncultured bacterium. Its description in RNAcentral is "partial 16S ribosomal RNA". It matches the Rfam family "Bacterial small subunit ribosomal RNA", at positions 524 to 775 of the family's 1533-position model. The record is from RNAcentral.
UACGAAGGGGGCUAGCGUUGUUCGGAUUUACUGGGCGUAAAGGGCGCGUAGGCGGAUUUUUAAGUCAGGGGUGAAAUCCCAAGGCUCAACCUUGGAACUGCCUUUGAUACUGGGGAUCUUGAGUCCGGGAGAGGUGAGUGGAACUGCGAGUGUAGAGGUGAAAUUCGUAGAUAUUCGCAAGAACACCAGUGGCGAAGGCGGCUCACUGGCCCGGAACUGACGCUGAGGCGCGAAAGCGUGGGGAGCAAACAG